Molecule: ribosomal RNA, 786 nt
Filed under: uncultured bacterium
Lineage: Bacteria
Description: bacterial SSU rRNA
Rfam family: Bacterial small subunit ribosomal RNA
Source: RNAcentral
AGUCGACGAACACUUUGAUCGAUUUCUUCGGAUUGAAAUUUUAGUGACUGAGUGGCGGACGGGUGAGUAACGCGUGGGCAACCUGCCUCACACAGGGGGAUAACAGUUGGAAACGGCUGCUAAUACCGCAUAAGCGCACAGUACCGCAUGGUACAGUGUGAAAAACUCCGGUGGUGUGAGAUGGACCCGCGUCUGAUUAGCUAGUUGGCAGGGCAACGGCCUACCAAGGCGACGAUCAGUAGCCGACCUGAGAGGGUGACCGGCCACAUUGGGACUGAGACAUGGCCCAAACUCCUACGGGAGGCAGCAGUGGGGAAUAUUGCACAAUGGGGGAAACCCUGAUGCAGCGACGCCGCGUGAGCGAAGAAGUAUUUCGGUAUGUAAAGCUCUAUCAGCAGGGAAGAAGAAAUGACGGUACCUGACUAAGAAGCACCGGCUAAAUACGUGCCAGCAGCCGCGGUAAUACGUAUGGUGCAAGCGUUAUCCGGAUUUACUGGGUGUAAAGGGAGCGCAGGCGGAAGGCUAAGUCUGAUGUGAAAGCCCGGGGCUCAACCCCGGUACUGCAUUGGAAACUGGUCAUCUAGAGUGUCGGAGGGGUAAGUGGAAUUCCUAGUGUAGCGGUGAAACGCGUAGAUAUUAGGAGGAACACCAGUGGCGAAGGCGGCUUACUGGACGAUAACUGACGCUGAGGCUCGAAAGCGUGGGGAGCAAACAGGAUUAGAUACCCUGGUAGUCCACGCCGUANACGAUGAAUACUANGUGUCGGAAAGCACAGCUUUUCGGUGC